GAUGAACGCUGGCGGCGUGCUUAACACAUGCAAGUCGAACGAAGCAACUUAUUACGAUCCCUUCGGGGUGACGAUUUGUUGACUGAGUGGCGGACGGGUGAGUAACGCGUGGGUAACCUCCCUUGUCCAGGGGGACAACAGUUGGAAACGACUGCUAAUACCGCAUAAGCGCACAGCUUCGCAUGAAGCAGUGUGAAAAGUUUUUCGGUACAAGAUGGACCCGCGUCUGAUUAGCUAGUUGGUGAGGUAACGGCCCACCAAGGCGACGAUCAGUAGCCGACCUGAGAGGGUGACCGGCCACAUUGGGACUGAGACACGGCCCAAACUCCUACGGGAGGCAGCAGUGGGGAAUAUUGCACAAUGGGCGAAAGCCUGAUGCAGCGACGCCGCGUGAGCGAAGAAGUAUUUCGGUAUGUAAAGCUCUAUCAGCAGGGAAGAUAAUGACGUAC
Molecule: ribosomal RNA, 449 nt
Filed under: bacterium NB2010
Lineage: Bacteria
Description: bacterial SSU rRNA
Rfam family: Bacterial small subunit ribosomal RNA
Source: RNAcentral